UUCGACACCUCCUUUGUCAUUCUAUCUGUAUUAGUAACUGAGGAGUUGUAUUCGCGGUCGGACGGACAGACAGUCAUGAAACCAGAAGUAUAUAUUUGUUCUCGUCUUGCGAAUGCGCGUCGAAUAAUAUAUCACUUGUGCUAUUGCGGUGACUUUAAAAGAGUACUUCCGGUCGCAUUUCUAAAACCGGAAGUCCUAGGUCAAAUUUCCCACCUUUAGUACCAUCCAUGUAUUAUGAGCUUUCAUUCGACACCUCAUUUGUGAUUCUACAUGGUAUAGUGACGGAGGAGUUACAUUUCCGGUCGGACGGACAGACAGUCUAGGUCAAAUGUCUCACCUUGAGUACCAUCCAUGGAUUAUAAGCUUUCAUUUGACACCUCAUUUGUCAUUCUACCUGGUAUAGUGACUGAAUGAGUUAUAUUCGCGGUCGGACGGACAGACAGCCUAUUAGGUCACACCAAGUCGUUCAAAUUCUCACCAACUUGUUCACACUUUUUCAAAAUUGGUGAAAACAACAAAUUAUAUUUUGUAUCGUUGUAUCAAUAUAAGCCAAAAAGAAUAAUUAGUGAAUGUCACGCCACUAUAAUAUAUUUUAUUAUUGGUCUUUCAAUGCUAAAAUCAGGAUAAAAAAGGUAUUUUAUCCAUGGUUUUAAUCAAUAUAAUUCUCACCAUUACUUUGUGUUGUAUUUGCAACCUUUUGUAAAUCAAAAAUAAUUCCACCAUAUUAAGAAUGUCAACAAAAGCCGGCCCUGCAUGCAACCUUUCUCUCAGUGCAACUAAAAUUUUAUUGAUACACGCCAGAAAUGUGUGAGACUUUUCUCAGUGUACUCGCGUGUACACUUGCCAACUCGAUACUAAAAUUAAGUACAUGCUAACAACAAAAGAAUCGCCGUCCGUGUCGGUUCUUGUGAGAGAUAUGUAUUCUUUGGUUUCUACUGAUAAUAAUAUACUAUUCUCAAUAUGGCUACAUGGCUACUGGGUGUAAAAGAUAAAUCUUAUUCUAUCUGUUCUUCAUGAGUUUUAGAUAAUUUUAGUUGUAUUUCUUUGUAAUUUUGUGUUGUACAAAGAUUAAUUUAAAAUUUUCUCUGGAAGUAUUAAUUUAGAAAGAUAAUAUGCUUCAUUGGUGUUGUGUUUUGAAGUGUGAAAUGCAAAGUAAUUGUGAUAAAGUCAAGAUAAAGUUCACUUUUAAACUGAACUAAAUAAGGUAUCUGAGAGACAACAAUGGUUAAAUGCAAUACAAUGUACAGGUUUUACUAGCGAAAUGAAAAUUUUCCUGUCCUGUCUGCUGUAAUCAUUUUAUAUCUGGUAAGUUACAAUUACAACAGUAACGAUUUUUGAAGAUGUUAACAUUUUAAUCUUAUAGGAAAAUAGGAAAACCAGCCGACUUAAUCGAUAAUAACAAUCUCCAGAUUGGGUUCCUUCAAUAAAUAUGGGCUAUAAACACAAUGAAAUAAGUUCCCCAAAAUCUAAAAUGGAGUGCUAUCAAAGGAGAAUUAAAGGAAAAAAUAUUCAUAUUGAAAUUAUUUAUAAGGCACUGGACUGUCUUAAAUUCUACAAUAAUACUAGAAUCAGCUGAGAGAAGUGGUCUACAAAAAACCAGGAAGGAAACGGAAUAUGUGGCUACGAAAGGCAAAAGAAAGGUUUACAAAGCAAAUGUGACAUAUUUUUUUGAAAUAUUUAGGAAUAUCAGUAAAUUGCAUUAAAAAAUGUAUGAAAAGAUUUUGUUCAAUAAAAAUGUUUAUAUUUA
Molecule: long non-coding RNA, 1747 nt
Organism: Diabrotica virgifera virgifera (western corn rootworm)
Lineage: Eukaryota; Metazoa; Arthropoda; Insecta; Coleoptera; Chrysomelidae
Exons: 2
Source: RefSeq, a predicted model, not a curated record